Molecule: ribosomal RNA, 440 nt
Filed under: Salmonella enterica
Lineage: Bacteria; Pseudomonadati; Pseudomonadota; Gammaproteobacteria; Enterobacterales; Enterobacteriaceae
Also listed under: 2 other names
Description: partial 23S ribosomal RNA
Rfam family: Bacterial large subunit ribosomal RNA
Source: RNAcentral
AAUGCUGACAUAAGUAACGAUAAAGCGGGUGAAAAGCCCGCUCGCCGGAAGACCAAGGGUUCCUGUCCAACGUUAAUCGGGGCAGGGUGAGUCGACCCCUAAGGCGAGGCCGAAAGGCGUAGUCGAUGGGAAACGGGUUAAUAUUCCCGUACUUGGUGUUACUGCGAAGGGGGGACGGAGAAGGCUAUGUUGGCCGGGCGACGGUUGUCCCGGUUUAAGCGUGUAGGUGUGUGUUCCAGGUAAAUCCGGUUCACUUUAACACUGAGGCGUGACGACGAGGCACUACGGUGCUGAAGCAACAAAUGCCCUGCUUCCAGGAAAAGCCUCUAAGCAUCAGGUAACAUCAAAUCGUACCCCAAACCGACACAGGUGGUCAGGUAGAGAAUACCAAGGCGCUUGAGAGAACUCGGGUGAAGGAACUAGGCAAAAUGGUGCCGUAA